AUGGGCCAUCGAUGGUCCCUCCUUACCAAAGCCUGAUGUAGGUAAUGUGCAGUGUCCACAACAGAUUGUCUGAUGAAAAAUAAUGAGCAAGCGCACCUGUUGAUGUAAUGAGUCCUGGACUCAUGCUGAUGCGGAACGAUUAAGCCUGAGGUUUAGUCGGAUUUCGUGUCCCCAUCGUCUAGAGGCCUAGGACACUGCCCUUUCACGGCUGUAACAGGGGUUCGAAUCCCCUUGGGGACGCCAUACCGAUAAUGAGUGAAAGACAUUAUCACCGAAUAUCUUAAAGAUGACUUUACCGAGUCGUGUUUAAGAUAUUGCUCUUUAACAAUCUGGAACAAGCUGAAAUUUGAAACGAUGCGGCUAAACAUAUCUCUCCGUGCAGUACUGAGAUGUGAUUUGGCUGUAUCAGAGUCUCUCAAAUAAUCGCAGCGCGAGAUGUCCAAAGAGACCUUCAGGUUGUGAGGUUAAGCGACUAAGCGUACACGGUGGAUGCCUUGGCAUGUGUGAUAUGGCUGUAUCAGAGUCUCUCAAAUAAUCGCAGCGCGAAAGUGACUUGAUGUAUCAAAGACACCUUCGGGUUGUGAGGUUAAGCGACUAAGCGUACACGGUGGAUGCCUUGGCA
RNAcentral lists this transfer RNA (622 nucleotides) under Brenneria goodwinii. RNAcentral describes it as "partial may contain 16S ribosomal RNA, 16S-23S ribosomal RNA intergenic spacer, and 23S ribosomal RNA". The stretch from base 168 to 240 matches the Rfam family "tRNA". The record is from RNAcentral. Lineage: Bacteria; Pseudomonadati; Pseudomonadota; Gammaproteobacteria; Enterobacterales; Pectobacteriaceae.